AUUCCGGAAGAAGACAACAGGGAUUACCUCAGUAACGGCGAGUGAAGCGGUAACAGCUCAAAUUUGAAAUCUGGCCUCACGGUCCGAGUUGUAAUUUGUAGAGGAUGCUUCGAGCAUGGUCUGGCCUAAGUUCCUUGGAACAGGACGUCAUAGAGGGUGAGAAUCCCGUAUGCGGCCAGGUGCCUACGCUCAUGUGAAGCUCCUUCGACGAGUCGAGUUGUUUGGGAAUGCAGCUCAAAAUGGGUGGUAAAUUUCAUCUAAAGCUAAAUAUUGGCCAGAGACCGAUAGCGCACAAGUAGAGUGAUCGAAAGAUGAAAAGCACUUUGGAAAGAGAGUUAAACAGUACGUGAAAUUGUUGAAAGGGAAGCGCUUGCAACCAGACUUGCGCGCGGCCGAUCAUCCGGUGUUCUCACCGGUGCACUCGGCCGUGCUCAGGCCAGCAUCGGUUUUGGCGGCUGGAUAAAGGCCCUAGGAAUGUGGCUCCUCUCGGGGAGUGUUAUAGCCUAGGGUGCAAUGCAGCCUGCUGGGACCGAGGACCGCGCUUCGGCUAGGAUGCUGGCGUAAUGGUUGUAAGCGGCCCGUCUUGAAACACGGACCAAGGAGUCUAACAUCUAUGCGAGUGUUUGGGUGUCAAACCCAUACGCGUAAUGAAAGUGAACGGAGGUGAGAACCCUUAAGGGUGCAUCAUCGACCGGUCCUGAAGUUUACGGAAGGAUCUGAGUAAGAGCAUAGCUGUUGGGACCCGAAAGAUGGUGAACUAUGCCUGAAUAGGGUGAAGCCAGAGGAAACUCUGGUGGAGGCUCGCAGCGGUUCUGACGUGCAAAUCGAUCGUCAAAUUUGGGUAUAGGGGCGAAAGACUAAUCGAACCAUCAGAGCGCUC
This 880-nucleotide ribosomal RNA is filed under the name Pseudogymnoascus sp. RNAcentral describes it as "partial large subunit ribosomal RNA". It matches the Rfam family "Eukaryotic large subunit ribosomal RNA", at positions 50 to 953 of the family's 3401-position model. Lineage: Eukaryota; Fungi; Ascomycota; Leotiomycetes; Thelebolales; Thelebolaceae. The record is from RNAcentral.